GACUGUCGCUGGCCUUUUAACAGAGGCAUGUGCACGCUCUCUUCCGGACUUUCGCCGUAUGGGCGCGGGGCGACCCGCGUCUUCAUAUACCUCUUCGUGUAGAAAGUCUUCGAAUGUUUUACCAUCAUCGAGUCGCGACUUCUAGGAGACGCGAUUCUUUGAGACAAAAGUUAUCACAACUUUCAGCAACGGAUCUCUUGGCUCUCGCAUCGAUGAAGAACGCAGCGAAUCGCGAUAUGUAAUGUGAAUUGCAGAUCUACAGUGAAUCAUCGAAUCUUUGAACGCACCUUGCGCUCCUCGGUGUUCCGAGGAGCAUGCCUGUUUGAGCGUCAGUAAAUUCUCAACCCCUCUCGAUUUGUUUCGAGUGGGGCUUGGAUAGUGGGGGCUGCCGGAGACCUGAACUCGUUUUCAGGACUCGGGCUCCUCUGAAAUGCAUCGGCUUGCGGUCGACCUUCGACUUUGCGCGACAAGGCCUUCGGCGUGAUAAUGAUCGCCGUUCGCUGAAGUGCAUCAAUGAACCGUCCCGCGCCUCCAAUCCGUCGACGCCUUCUGGGCGUCUUCCUUAUAGACGUUUGACCUCAAAUCAGGUAGGACUACCCGCUGAACUUAAGCAUAUCA
This 618-nucleotide ribosomal RNA is filed under the name uncultured Suillus. RNAcentral describes it as "eukaryotic LSU rRNA". The stretch from base 178 to 332 matches the Rfam family "5.8S ribosomal RNA". The record is from RNAcentral. Lineage: Eukaryota; Fungi; Basidiomycota; Agaricomycetes; Boletales; Suillaceae.